Vitis vinifera (wine grape) is the source of this 520-nucleotide long non-coding RNA. RefSeq lists it as uncharacterized. The record is from RefSeq and is a predicted model, not a curated record. Lineage: Eukaryota; Viridiplantae; Streptophyta; Magnoliopsida; Vitales; Vitaceae. The transcript is spliced from 2 exons.
CAUCACUUCAAAAACCCAACGCUCAUAUGCCCAGAGCCACACGACAAAUGUCUAUUCACCGUCACUUCAUUUUUUUUUUGAAUUUCAAAAUUUCUAACGUCUAGAUUCACCCAUGAUAUACCAAAGCAUUAUGCAGUUGUUCAGUUCUUAUUUCAAUCGAUCAUCAUGAAUCUGGGUUGCGUUUCUUUGGAAGACAAGCCCUGAAAUGAAUCAUCUCCUGCCUUCGGAGAACCUGGAAAACAAUUCGAGCGAGGCAGUGACGGCGACUCUAAAGUUUGGCAAGAUGCAGAUAUCUCUCUAGAGGAUCCACAGGUGGGGCAGUGAGGACUUCAAGAUGCUCCUGGAGCGGCCUAGUGGAGCGUGACAUUUUCUGUUAUUGUGUUUUUGUUUGGAUUUUGGGAUUUUUUUUUAGUAAUUAUGACUCAUGGAUUUGUUAUGAAGCUUUAUUUUGAUUAAAGUUGUUAAUUGUGAACUUUUAUUUUGGACUAUAAUAAAUAUUUAUUUAAUCUUGUUGUUUUGA